CCAAUAGCGUAUAUUAAAGUUGUUGCAGUUAAAAAGCUCGUAGUUGAAUUUCGGGGUUAGCAGGUCGGUCGUGCCAUCGGUAUGAACUGGCCUCGCUGAUCCCUCCCUCUUGACGAACUGUGAUGCCAUUAAUUUGGUGUCGCAGGGAAUCAGGACUGUUACUUUGAAAAAAUUAGAGUGUUUAAAGCAGGCUCACGCUUGAAUACAUUAGCAUGGAAUAAUGAAAUAGGACGUUUGAUCCUAUUUUGUUGGUUUCUAGGAUUGACGUAAUGAUUAAUAGGGAUAGUUGGGGGCAUUAGUAUUCAAUUGUCAGAGGUGAAAUUCUUGGAUUUAUUGAAGACUAACUACUGCGAAAGCAUUUGCCAAGGAUGUUUUCAUUAAUCAAGAACGAAAGUUAGGGGAUCGAAGACGAUCAGAUACCGUCGUAGUCUUAACCAUAAACUAUGCCGACUAGGGAUCGGAUGAUGUUAAUUUUUUAAUGACUCAUUCGGCGCCUUACG
This 500-nucleotide ribosomal RNA is filed under the name uncultured Glomeromycotina. RNAcentral's name for it is "partial small subunit ribosomal RNA". It matches the Rfam family "Eukaryotic small subunit ribosomal RNA", at positions 591 to 1092 of the family's 1831-position model. The record is from RNAcentral. Lineage: Eukaryota; Fungi; Glomeromycota.